Molecule: transfer RNA, 67 nt
Filed under: Necturus beyeri (Gulf Coast waterdog)
Lineage: Eukaryota; Metazoa; Chordata; Amphibia; Caudata; Proteidae
Description: tRNA-Thr
Rfam family: tRNA
About the family: Transfer RNA (tRNA) molecules are approximately 80 nucleotides in length. Their secondary structure includes four short double-helical elements and three loops (D, anti-codon, and T loops).
Source: RNAcentral
GCUUUAAUAGUUUAAUAAAACAUUGGUCUUGUAAGCCAAAAAUGAGAUCUAAUAUCCUCUUAAAGCU